CUCUUUGUGCAGUGGCAGUAUCAUAGCCAAUGAGGUUUAUCUGAGGCACGAUUAUUGCUAAUUGAUUAUUAGCAAUUGAUUAUUGCUAAUUGUGAUUAUGGCUAAUUUUCCCAAUAACCCCCCCAUGGCGACUUGAAAUAUAAUCGGCAUUGGCAAUUUUUGAUGGUUUCUACAGAGA
Otolemur garnettii (small-eared galago) is the source of this 178-nucleotide small nuclear RNA. Its record names the gene U4. It matches the Rfam family "U4 spliceosomal RNA". Rfam says of the family: U4 small nuclear RNA (U4 snRNA) is a component of the major U2-dependent spliceosome. The structure of U4 snRNA from yeast and human has been reported. U4 snRNA presents a k-turn RNA motif in the 5p-SL related to recognition of Snu13 protein. Lineage: Eukaryota; Metazoa; Chordata; Mammalia; Primates; Galagidae. The record is from Ensembl.